UGAUUUUAAGUUUAAAAAGAAAAAAAAAAUAAAAAUAAAAAGAAAACCCAUUUGUAUUUCGUGGCUUAAUAAGGAGUAGCCACAACUUUCAAUUGUUGUCAACUUCUCAAACAUUCUUUGACAAAUAAAAACCCUUAGCUUCCUUCUUCACUCAAAACCCCAAAAAAACCCCAAUUCUCUCUCUCUUUCUCUCGCGGGUCCUGCCGAUACCCCCACCGACGAAUGACGGCGGGACUUAUUGUCGUCGUCGCGCCGCCGCUGCUGUUGUUCUAGCGGUGCUGCCGCAGUUGUUGUUGUUGGUUCUUUAAGUCAAAUUUUCUCUCUCCUCUGCUUCGUUUUUUUUUUCUGGUGCUGGUGCUGCUGCCACAGUUCCGUGGUCUGCUGCCGCGCUGGACGAUGUUGUCUGGGUUUGUGCCGCCGUGGUUGCUGGUGGUGUUGUACAAAUCAAUUGGUUUUUCUCCUUGAAUCAUUACAUUAGUGUGAUAUCAUAUGGGUGAGCAAUGUUAAGAACUCUUGGAGAUUGAUCAUAGAAUUGGAGAUGUUGAGCUCUUGAAGAGUUAUAUGGAAUUGAGCAUUAUUGGAGAAUAAAGGAGGUUUGCUCAUUAUGCGUUAGAGCUGGUAUUGCUCUGGAGCGGGUAUUGCUCCGUUAUGUGGGGUCAUGACCUAAAAGUCUUGCAAGCAGUACAAAAUGGAAGACAACUCUAUUCGUGUUCUCUUUCCCAGUAUAAUAUGAUUUCUGAAAGAAAAUAGAAUAUGUAUUUGAGUAUUCGAGUGGUUUGUGGAAAGUUAUUUCAAACUUUAAUUUCUGAAAUAAUGUUUUACUCACCCAAGUUUUAGAGUUCAUGCGCCAAUUUUGAAAAUAAUUAUCAAGGAACUUGUUAAGGAAUUUAUGCAGGAGUUAACUAUGAUAUACAUAUGAAUUAAAGGUUUUUUUGAUCAUAUGGAUUGAAUGUCUUUGUGUAUGAUCCACAGAAGUGGGAGAGAAUUAUUGACGUAAGGUAUGUUAGAGUUGAAUUCGAAGGAUCGUAUUAGUUCUAUGGAAGUGCGGGGUGUUACAGGCAUUAUUAUGUUGUGGGUCCUGACCCAUAGGUCCAGGAUCGUGUAAAAAGGUUUUGUUUCCGCUGCAAGUAAAUAGUUAAUUCAAGGUCAUUAGGUGUCAAUUGAGUUUUAUGAAUGUUAAGUAUGAUUAGCUAGCAGCUCGGAAGUGCGGGCUGUUACAGUGUUCAUCCAAGUAAUUUUGGAUAUCUUCCCAAGUUUCAUCAGUGGCAUGGUUUAUCCUGUCCAUAUCAUCAUUGUUCACAAUAGGCAAGGGAUUAGAGGAAGGAAUUGGAUCAGGGGAAGGAAUUGGAUUACUAUGAUCAGUGUUUGUUGCCCCGAAAGACAUUCUUACCCUUUCCUAACCCCUUAUCAAACUUCAAUUUCCUAGCAGCUUGAACACAAUCACUUAGCUUAUCUAGGUAAUCAACAUAUAUAUAUAUAUAUAUAUAUAUAUAUAUAUAUAUAUAUAUAUAUAUCACUUUACUUUUACUAAAUCUCUGCAACAUUGUCAUCAAAUCAUUAUCAUUAUGAAUUUUGACUCCGUCUUGCUUAUAAUAGUAGUGAAAGGUAGGAAAUUCAGGCAUCUUAUAGUUUUUGUUCCUAAACUCAUCCUCAUAGUCAUUUAUUAGGUCAAUCCACAUCACUUUUUCAAUGUCGUCAAUCAUCAAAUCAACAGUGUUACCCAUACAACUGAAUUUCAACAUAAUUUCAUCCAUUCUGCAAAACAUAAUAGCAACAUUAGCAAAUAGCAUAUUUAUUUUAAUUGCACCAGAAAUUAGUUUUAUUUUUUUUUACAAGUGUAUUGUAGCAUACUUCUAUCAUAUUAUUAUAUCU
Molecule: long non-coding RNA, 1872 nt
Organism: Beta vulgaris subsp. vulgaris (sugar beet)
Lineage: Eukaryota; Viridiplantae; Streptophyta; Magnoliopsida; Caryophyllales; Amaranthaceae
Exons: 3
Source: RefSeq, a predicted model, not a curated record